AGAAAGAAACAAAAUCACGUAAUGCUCCUCUCCCUUUCACGUGAAGAACAAUAAACUCACAGAAGCCCUUUUGCUUCAGCAGCCGCGCAGCCUCCACACAACCGCCACCGGCGCUCCUCCUCCGGCCGGUAACCUCAGCGUUCUCCCAGUCUUGCUUCAUUCUUUCUUCCUCUCAUUCUUUUUCAAUCACUUUAUCUGGCUAUUUCUAUUUAUUGCGCCAGCAACCACCACGUUGCCACCACGUCGCCACCACCACCAGCACCUGCACCGACCUGCUGUUGUCGUGCCGCCAGCCUUCGGCCACCCUCCACCUCCUAUCUCCUCCAUACAAGCAACGCUCUCCUUCUCUUCUUAUUUCUUGUGCAAGGCACCACAACCACUGCCGUACUCCUCCGCCUAGCGCCACCCUUACCGUCGGCCGUCCAGCUUCUCCCCUUGUUGCCGCACCACCACGCCGUUGCACCACCUCCGGCCAGCUUACCUUCUCUCUUUUGGUUGUUUUAGGUGGAGAAUUCUCUUUAGGCGACUUUUGAAAGUGUUAAAGUGGCCUAUCAGUUCGUUUACACAAGUUUCUAAGGAUUAAUAAGCGUUGCCCAUCUACAGGUUUGAAGAUGAUGCAUCAUUGGGAGCGGGAUUAGAGAGCUUGUAGUUAGAUUUGGUUUGUUAAUUUGGAUUUGAAAUUUGUCGUACUAUUCGUAUUUCCUUAUUUCCGUUAAUUGGUUUUGGGACUUAAUAUGUAAUCGGUUAUUUAUGAACCUAAAAGUUAGUUUUAUGUUUUCCGCUGCAAAAUUCUGAAUAAGCCGUUAC
Spinacia oleracea (spinach) is the source of this 807-nucleotide long non-coding RNA. RefSeq lists it as uncharacterized. NCBI's taxonomy places the organism in Eukaryota, Viridiplantae, Streptophyta, Magnoliopsida, Caryophyllales, Amaranthaceae. The record is from RefSeq and is a predicted model, not a curated record. The transcript is spliced from 3 exons.